UACGUAGGCAGCAAGCGUUGUUCGGAGUUACUGGGCGUAAAGGGUGUGUAGGCGGUUAUUUAAGUUUGGUGUGAAAUCUCCCGGCUCAACUGGGAGGGUGCGCCGAAUACUGAAUAACUUCGAGUGCGGGAGAGGAAAGUGGAAUUCCUGGUGUAGCGGUGAAAUGCGUAGAUAUCAGGAGGAACACCGGUGGUGUAGACGGCUUUCUGGACCGUAACUGACGCUGAGACACGAAAGCGUGGGUAGCGAACGGG
RNAcentral lists this ribosomal RNA (254 nucleotides) under uncultured bacterium. Its description in RNAcentral is "partial 16S ribosomal RNA". It matches the Rfam family "Bacterial small subunit ribosomal RNA", at positions 524 to 776 of the family's 1533-position model. The record is from RNAcentral.